UUAUAAACACAAUAAAACCACAGUAAAUCCUUCUUUACAACGUGCAUCAACUAAUGACAAUAAUAAAUUGAGGCGUGGUCUCCUUAGCAUCUUUAGCAGGGAGAGACUAGCAGUAGUUUUAUUCAGGUAGUUGUGUGUGGUAUUUUCAUCCCAUGUAACUGAGAAAACAUGAGGAAAGUCAGAUUCUCUUACCAGUUUUAGUGGGGUAGGAAGUCUUGAGUGUUUUUAAGCCAGUACUGAAAAUUUCCUUCCCCAUUUUUCCCCCUCCCAAGCUUUUCAUCAGAAAUGGUUAUGGGUAGCAUUUUAUGGGUUCUAUUUAUUUGAAAUUUGGAUUCUCUUUACGUUUUCUGAAGACUAGGCAACUUAAUGUGUGUAUUAAAAUGAGGGAAACAUUUAUAUCCCUAGUAAGCAAUUUACAGUAAUUUUCAAACACAGGCAUUAGUAAAUCAAAGAAGUCUUAAUUCAGAACCUAAACGCUGUAUCGUUAACUCUUGGAUGAUAUUUUGGAACUAGUCUGGGGAGAAAUUCCAGGGACAUAGAAAAUGCUUUUUCCAGGGUGUCUUGUUAAAAGCUUCCUGAAGCUGUAACCUGUACAU
This 596-nucleotide long non-coding RNA is filed under the name Bos taurus (domestic cattle). RNAcentral's name for it is "long non-coding RNA NONBTAT023723". The record is from RNAcentral. Lineage: Eukaryota; Metazoa; Chordata; Mammalia; Artiodactyla; Bovidae.